GACAGAGGGUGCAAACGUUGUUCGGAAUUACUGGGCGUAAAGCGCGUGUAGGCGGCUUGGCAAGUCGGGUGUGAGAGCCCUGGGCUCAACCUAGGAAGUGCACUCGAAACUGCUUCGCUUGAGUGUCGGAGAGGAAAGCGGAAUUCUUGGUGUAGAGGUGAAAUUCGUAGAUACCGAGAGGAACAUCGGUGGCGAAGGCGGCUUUCUGGACGACUACUGACGCUGAGACGCGAAAGCGUGGGGGGCAAACAGG
This 253-nucleotide ribosomal RNA is filed under the name uncultured bacterium. RNAcentral's name for it is "partial 16S ribosomal RNA". It matches the Rfam family "Bacterial small subunit ribosomal RNA", at positions 524 to 776 of the family's 1533-position model. The record is from RNAcentral.